This 497-nucleotide ribosomal RNA is filed under the name uncultured bacterium. RNAcentral's name for it is "partial 16S ribosomal RNA". It matches the Rfam family "Bacterial small subunit ribosomal RNA", at positions 28 to 507 of the family's 1533-position model. The record is from RNAcentral.
GACGAACGCUGGCGGCGUGCCUAAUACAUGCAAGUUGAGCGCUGAAGGUUGGUCCUUGUACCAACUGGAUGAGCAGCGAACGGGUGAGUAACGCGUGGGGAAUCUGCCUUUGAGCGGGGGACAACAUUUGGAAACGAAUGCUAAUACCGCAUAAAAACUUUAAACACAAGUUUCAAGUUUGAAAGAUGCAAUUGCAUCACUCAAAGAUGAUCCCGCGUUGUAUUAGCUAGUUGGUGAGGUAAAGGCUCACCAAGGCGAUGAUACAUAGCCGACCUGAGAGGGUGAUCGGCCACAUUGGGACUGAGACACGGCCCAAACUCCUACGGGAGGCAGCAGUAGGGAAUCUUCGGCAAUAGACGAAAGUCUGACCGAGCAACGCCGCGUGAGUGAAGAAGGGUUUCGGAUCGUAAAACUCUGUUGGUAGAGAAGAACGUUGGUGAGAGUGGAAAGCUCAUCAAGUGACGGUAACUACCCAGAAAGGGACGGCUAACUACGUG